Molecule: ribosomal RNA, 1989 nt
Filed under: human gut metagenome
Description: bacterial LSU rRNA
Rfam family: Bacterial large subunit ribosomal RNA
Source: RNAcentral
GAAAGUAAUGAAGGGCGUACGGUGGAUGCCUAGGCUCUUACAGGCGAUGAAGGACGUGAUAAGCUGCGAAAAGCCGCGGUGAGGCGCAAAUGGCCCUUGACCCGCGGAUCUCCGAAUGGGACAACCCAAUAUCUUGAAGAGAUAUUAUCCCGCCGGUGCGGGAGGCGAACGCGGGGAACUGAAACAUCUUAGUACCCGCAGGAAAAGAAAAUAAAGAAUGAUUCCCCCAGUAGUGGCGAGCGACCGGGGAAGAGCCCAAACCGACGUUGUCUCGGCAUCGUCGGGGUUGUAGGACCGCGCCAUCGCAAGAAAGGCCGUGAGUGGAAGCGACUGGAAAGCCGCGCCAUAGAGGGUGACAGCCCCUUACACGAAGCAGCCCGAAGCGUAGCGGACUCCUGAGUAGCGCGGGACACGAGUAAUCCUGUGUGAAUCCGCCGGGCCCAUCCGGCAAGGCUAAAUACUCGUAAGAGACCGAUAGUGAACCAGUACCGUGAGGGAAAGGUGAAAAGUACCCCUUGCAGGGGAGUGAAAGAGUUCCUGAAACCGUACGCCUACAAGCGGUCGGAGCAUCUUGAAUGAUGUGACGGCGUGCCUUUUGCAUAAUGAACCUACGAGUUGCCGUCACCAGCGAGGUUAAGUGCGAUGACGCACCGAGCCGCAGCGGAAGCGAGUCUUAAAAGGGCGCGAUAGUUGGUGGAGGCAGACGCGAAACCGAGUGAUCUACACUUGUCCAGGAUGAAGUCCCGGUAACACGGGAUGGAGGUCCGCACCAAUAAGCGUUGAAAAGCUUCUGGAUGAGGUGAGUGUAGGAGUGAAAGGCCAAUCAAACUCGGAGAUAGCUCGUACUCCCCGAAAGGCAUUUAGGUGCCGCCUGUGGCGUUCCCGACGUGAGGUAGAGCGACUGAUAGGAUGCGAGGGCUUCACCGCCUAUCAAGUCCUGACAAACUCCGAAUGCACGUCGGCCAAGCCAUGGAGUAAGGGCAUGGGUGCUAAGGUCCGUGCCCGAGAGGAGAAGAAUCCAGACCACCGGCUAAGGUCCCGAAAUACUGGUUAAGUUAGACUAACGCAGUCCGGCCCCCAAGACAGCUAGGAUGUUGGCUUGGAAGCAGCCAUUCAUUCAAAGAGUGCGUAACAGCUCACUAGUCGAGGAGCUGGGCGUGGAUAAUAAUCGGGUAUGAAACCAGUUACCGAAGCCGUGGGAUGCUUAAGCAUCGGUAGGGGAGCAUUGCAUGCGGCUUAGAAGGCGGGGCGCGAGCCCCUCUGGAGCGCAUGGAAACGCAAAUGUAGGUAUAAGUAACGACAAGGGGGGUGGGAUGCCCCCCCGCCGAAAGACCAAGGUUUCCUGAACAACGCUAAUCGGUUCAGGGUCAGUCGGGUCCUAAGCAUAAGCCGUAUGGCGAGGGCGAUGGACGAAACGGUUAAUAUUCCGUUACUGUCUUGGUGUGUGACGCGGCGACGGAGUAGUGACACGGCCGCCUCCUGACGGAAAAGGGGGUUGAAGCGCAAAGGUGUCGAGGAAGGCAGGCAAAUCCACCUUCCGAGCCGAAGCGCGAAAGUACGCCGGGCCCUUUGGGGCAAGGCGAUAGUGCCGGUAAUCAGACUUCCAAGAAAACCCGCUAAACUUCAGCACCAAGUCACCCGUACUCUAAACGGACACACGUGGUCGGGUAGAAUAUACUAAGGCGCUUGGGAGAUUCACGGUUAAGGAACUAGGCAAAUUGACCCCGUACCUUCGGAAUAAGGGGUCCUCGCUUUUGCGAGGCGCAGAGAAUAGGUCCAGGCAACUGUUUAACAAAAACACAGGGCUGUGCAAAAUUGAAAGAUGAAGUAUACAGCCUGACACCUGCCCGGUGCUGGAAGGUUAAGAGGAGAUGUCAUCGCAAGAGAAGCAUUGAAUUGAAGCCCCAGUAAACGGCGGCCGUAACUAUAACGGUCCUAAGGUAGCGAAAUUCCUUGUCGGGUAAGUUCCGACCUGCACGAAUGGUGUAA